UUCUUCUUUUUCCUCCUCCCAUCUCACUUUUUUCUCCUAUUCCAUGAAAGUUUCUCUCAAGCUUCCAUCAUUCUCUCAAACAAACCCUAAUUUUCGUGCUUUACACACCCUAUUGUAGGGUUUUUAAUACUCUUUUACUCCUUCACCCCUUCACCUUAAACAAACCCUUAAAAGUUUUUCUUCAAUACUUUCUCUCACCAGCUGAACUUUGUAGAAAGAGAAAAAGAGGUUUCAUGAUAGUUUAAGGACUCUUGGGAAGAAAUUUCAUUACCAUCCACCAAGGUGAGUGAUGAAUUAAGAUUGGUUUUAAGUUAUUGAUGAUGACUAAUAAUUAAAGUUAUGAGUUGUGUUAUUUGCUGAAAUUGUUUAUCUAUUUUUAGUGUUACUAAAGUAGAGAAACGGAAUAGCCAAUCAAAUGGUAAUUGAAAGGUAGAUAGGAAGAGCUAUUGAAGCUUGAAUUGGGAAAUAGCUUUUGGAGUGAUAUUAAUGUAAAUUGGAUUGGCUACGAUGUUUCUGUGCAUGAUAGGUUCCAACAAGGCCCCUCAACCCCAUUUGGACCAUUACGAAAGUUAGAGUCGAUUAAAGGUUCAACAAUUACUAGUGAGUGAAUUUGCAUUAAAAGGUUUUGGGAUAUACACAUAUAUGUUGAUUGAAUCCCUUAAAACAUUUUACUUGGUUUUUUCUUCAAAACUUGCACGGGAACAAGCCCUUGUGAAAUGUUUUUAUGUUAUGAAAUGGAUUGUGUGAUGAAUUCAUAUGUUUCUAUAUAAUGUUGAUAUAUAUAUAUACUAUGUCAUAAAUGGUACCAUUGUGUGACAAAUGCAAUCGUGCAUGUGCGGGGUGAGUGUGCACUUGCCAGUGAUGACAGUGGUUAGAGAGAUGAAUGGUGAUACUGCCCAUGUGCACAAUGUGGGGGGAUGCACACGAUGGCAUUAACUGUGCAUGAUGUGGGGGGAUGCACACGAUGACUCUGGCUAUGUGCACGAUGUGGGGGGAUACACAUGAAUUGGUUGAGAUGGGGUGUCCCGUUAUGUGCACGAUGUGGGGGAUGCACAUGAGUUGGAUAAGAUGGGGUGGUUGUCAAGCCCUACUAUAUUAUAUACUUUUCAUGUCAUUCAUGUACUUGAUAGCAUAUCUACAUACUGGGAUACCUCAAAGAAUCAUUAAAAGUCGGCAUCGUACCUAGUGGUACAAUUAAGUCGAUUAAAACCUCGAACUAGUUUGAAUAGAGAUUUUAGGAUAUAUUUUAGAGUUAUUGAACGUUAGACUAUCUCAAUAUGGUGAUUCGGAGUUCGAGGAUUAAUUUGGAGUCAAAUUAGGAAUUUUCAUAACAUAGGGGCAAAAUGGUCAUUUUACCACCCGAGGGCAAAAUGGGAAUGUUUGAUGAAAUUUUUGACCAAGUUUGACUAAUUGGAGAAUGAUUUGAAUUUGAGAAAUGAAAAAUUUUAAUUUCGACAUUUUUCCGAACAUAAGGGCAAAAUAGUCAUUUUACGUGUCGAUAAGGACGUAAUUGAAAUUUUUGGAAUUUUACACCACCAUAACACUUGUCAAGCCCAUGAAUUUUACCUAUUAUUAUUUUAUACUUUGGAUAAUUAAGAGAUUACAUAUGGUGGUGAGAAAAUGCUUAAUUGUUAAGUUUUAACCAUGGACCAAUCACAUGGUGACACACGUCAAGUUUUAAUAUUUUUAUAAUUUCCUUUAUAAAGUCAACAUAAACUCUCCCAUUUCACUCUUCAUGGCUGGCCAAAGCAAUGAUCAAAGAGAAAAGAAUAGAAACAAACCCUAGAGAGGAAAAUUCAAGAGAAAUUUAUUGAAUUUCAAAGAACAAAGCAAUCAAUGGUAAGAUUUUUCAAUUUUAGCUUAAAAUCUACCUUUCCCAUGCUUUCUUUUUCAUUUUCUAUGGUUGAAACACAAGUUUCCAUGAGAGAAUACUUGUUGGCCAAACAUAGGGAGAGAGGUUUUGAUGAUGGAUUUUGCUAGAUUUCAUGAUAUCUUAGUGUUUUUAGUUGUUUGAUGAUGUUUGGCAUGAAAAACAAGCAAGAAAAUCACAUGCCCUUCAACAACCCUUUUUGGCCAAAUGUUAUAAAUGACAUGUUGAUGAUGGAUUUUGUUGUAUUUCAUGUUAUUUAGCUCGUAAUUGAUGAUUUAUGUCAUCGGAUAUCAAAAACGGCUAUCGAAAAGUAUAGUUCCUUUAGUAAACGACUUGAACAAUAAUGAGAAAAUCAUAGUAAAUGGACUUGGAUUUGAUUCCUAAUGAUGUAGAUGGAUUUAUUGGACUAUGUUAACACUGAUUAGCACAUUAGUUCAAAAUCAGAAUGAAUUUCGAUUUUGAUGAAUUAAGUCACAAUCAAGCUUAUUGAGGUACUUUGGUGUAUUUGGAAUAUUGGAAGUGUAAUGAAUAUAUUUGAAGUUGAAUUAGAUGUUUUGGUUAAUUCAACAGUGUAUAGUUCAAGUUAGGUCGAAUACAAAUUAAGUUCGAUCAUAAUUGAACCCAUGUAGAACACCGUCCUUAUGUGAUUAUUCGAACAAUUCUCAUUCAAUGUCAUGCAUUCAUAUAGAGAUUGAAAUAGUUUUAUAACAGUUUGGCUCAAAUAUAUUGAAUUAUGUGUUGUGUAUUAUGUAUAGGUGGUGAGCCCUCUAAUAAGGGUAAAAAUAUUGUACCCGAGGACCAAGAAUAGGAGUACUCGAAAUUUCCAUUAUUGUGAGUAAUCAAAUGUUCAUCUUAACUAUCUAAAGUAGUUUAUACUCAUUUUUAUGAUUUUAAAAAAUAAUGAACUUAAACCGUAGAUUUUUAUGUUUUAUAAGUUAAGUGUUGGCUAAAUGAAUGAGAUUUAUAAAUUAUUUUGCAAUUCAAUGAUGAUUUUGGAAAUUGAGUAGGUGGAGACUAUAUACUUGUGUUAUCUAUAUAUAUAUAUAUAUAUGGUUUGAAUUAAUGGCUUAUGACAAUGUGAUGGCAUGAAUGGCUGGAUUUGUGGUUUGUGGAUUAUAUAAACUGUUUUGUUUUACCUUAACAGGCUGGGUAAUAUUGUAUUAGCCAUGUCAUGCUGUCGAAAUUUUUAUUGAUUUGGUGGGUUAUUUAAUUAGCUUACUACAGUGGGUAGGUUUCCAUGGACCAGCCUAUUAGAGGGGCACGGUAAACCCCGUUAUAUUUUACCUUAGUAUGAGAGGUGCGGAGGGUAUCUCCUAAGGUAAGUUUAGAGUUCACUUCACGCCGAACCACCACGUGAGGAUGAAACUCAGCCAACGCCAAGGAAUGACUAUAUUUUAAAAGUAAAAACAUGUUUUAUGGGUAUAUGUUGUUUUAAUAUCCUUGGCGAACUCGGUUGGAUGCCCGGGCCAAGGUUUCACCGAGUAUGAGUUUUGACACAAGCCAAGUUUUUAAGAGAAUCAUAAGCCUUGUUGAUUGUUUCGAUGAAAUGUAAUUGUUUUAUAUGAAUUGAAAUGAGUUUUAAAUGUUAUGAAUCAUAUUAUGAUGGGAUGAUUUAAUUGUCUCAAUUUACGUAGCUUUAGAUGUUGUAGAUAAACUUUGCUUACUCAGUGGGUUUACAAAAACUCACCCCUUUCUUUUUACCCAUUUCAGGCUCAAGAUAGUAUGUAGACAGUCGAUUUUGUCGAGGGUUGCUUUUGGAUUAGCAUCCUUAGAAAUCGAAGGUCUACAGUCUUGUAUAUUUUCGGUUAUUUUGGAGCCCACAUGUCAUUGUAAAAUAUUUUUGUAUACUUGGUUUAGUGUGCUAUUAUAUAUAUGAAUUUAUUUUGCUCUUGCGCUACAAAAUUUGUUUAUGUAGGAUUCUAUAAAUAUUGUUUUAUAAGAAAAUGAAAUAUUUUAUUUAAUGUUUUAUUUAGUUUGAUUAGCCAUAAUUUCAUUUUAAAUGGAUGAUCUAGAUUACUAAAAUUUUUUUUAGAUAAGAAAUGUAUAUUUUUCUAUCGUAUAUUGUAUUUUCACCAAGUUUCAAAAUUUUUGGAAAAAAAGGACCAAAAUACAGCUAUGUGGUAGAAAUUACUUUUUGUUUAUUUUUUAUUUAAAAAUAGUUUAUAUUCCCUUAAAAGAUGAUAUUUAGUAUUUGUUGCUCAUAGGGGACUCGUAAAAUUGAUGCAAGAGCCUUGCGAGGUUUUGGUUGACAUUUCGAGUAAUGAAUGUCUAUCGAGACAUCGCGAUGGUUGUCAUGGGCUUGAAGGGAGUACCGGGUCGUGACAGUGGUAUAUGAAUUGGUAUAUGUUUAAGUAUAUGUAUAUGCAAUAAAAAGAUCAUGAUUAUAAUAUGUGAUUGUAUGGUAUGAUGAAUCUUGAAAAUUUCCCAUUAACUUGCAAAUUGAUUUUAUUGCAGCGAGAAACAUGUUGUUUAUGCUACCUUGCUUGGAUGAUUGUUGGAAAUUUCCUCUCUUUCAAAUUUUAUGCUGAACAUGGUUUCUUCAUCAUUAAAUGAUUUUACAACCCAGGGUUAAAUGGAGGGAUUUUAAUAAGAACUUGAACUAAGUAGCAUGGUUUUCAAAUAAGUGCAUCAUGAUUAUCAACUUUCCUUAUCGUUGCUUAUUCUCUUCUUAUGUUCACUCACUGAGUUUGUACUCACUGUUUUCAACUUCAUGUUUUUAGAUUAGGAGGCAGUUGGAACCUAGGCCGAGAUGUCCACGUAGUUUGGUCUCUUUGGUAGGUAUGUUGGCAUUCAGUAGCCGUCCCUUCACCCUGGUCAUUCCGCUAAAGGCCUAGAGUCAUUUUGUUUGUAAAUACGUACAUGUGAUGUAAAGAACUAAAAUGCAAGCUUUAAAGAAUAUAUGUAUAUUUUGAUUGGUAAGCCACCAUGAGUGGUAAUGGUUAACAUUAUUUGGGUUAAUGUGAAAUGCAGUUUUGAUUGCUAUAGCAUAUUAAUUAGGUUCUUUUAGAUUGGAAGUAUGAAAGGUGACUUUAAGAUUAGUUGAUGGAAUGAUGAGCAGGAUUAUAUAAGUAGGCUUGCUUAGGCUUGGUGUGUGAGACCUCGACCUCUAUAGGCUCGUAACUAGGCAUAGACGCAAUAACACGGGCCAGGGGUAGUUCAUCAUUUCCCUAGUGAGCCCUUAAAAGUAAGUUUUAAACAAUAUUAAGGCCUAACUAGGCCUAAGGCAUAAAUGAAUGAUGAAAUACAGGUAAAAUGACGAAGGAAAUAAAAAUAAGGAUGAUUCCCAAGGUAGGGGCAAAAUGGUCAUUUUUCAUCUUGGGUUAAAAUUUUAAGUUUUCAUAAACUCGAGUAUUUUUAGACCAUUGUGGACUUGGCCUCAGUGUCAAAAGAGUAAAAAGAUUGCACAAAGGAUUGAAGAAGAAUAAGCCAACUUGCUAAGGGCAUUUUCAUAAUUUAAGUGGAGUUGGAUAAGCUUGAGCUAUAAAUAUCAUCUUUCAACAACUUCUUCUCUCUUUUCCAGCAGCUUCUUCUUCUACUUCCUUUUUCCCUCUCACGUUGCUUUCAUCCUCUAUGGGAGUUCUCUUCAAGCUUCCAUAACUCUCUCAAGCUAGCUCCACUUUUCAUGCUUUUGUGCACCCUUUCAUAGAACCUUUGUGCUCUUUCACUCUCUCACUUUAAAACCCUUGGAAAGUCUUACUUUCAUACUUUCUCUCACUAGCUAGGUGUUCUAGAGAGAGAAAGAAAGAGCUUCUAUAAUAGCUUGAAAAUUUGUGGAAAGAAUUUCAAAUUUACAAAGCUACCAAGGUGAGUAGUGAAUUGAAGUUGAUUUUUUUUAAGUGUUAAGAAUGUCUAGUAAUUUGAUUUGUGAGUGUUUUAUUGUUGAGAUAGUUUGUUCAUAUUUAGUGUGACUAGAGUAGUGCAAAUAAUAGCCAUUUAAUGGUAGUUGGAAGCUAGUUAGGAAUGACUAGUAGAACUCAAUUUAGAAAAUAGCUUUGGAAUAAUAUUAAUGCCAAGUUGGGUUAAUGGUGAUGUUGUUGUGUGUGAUAGGUUCCAACAAAACCCCACACCUCCAUUCGGAACCUUAAUUGAAGCUAAAGCCCACCAAAACAUCAAUAAAGACUGGUGAGUGAACUUGCAUUUCAAAAUUUCUUUGGGAAAGGUAAUGUAUUUGAAUGAACAUUUGAAUGAUUUUAUCCAACUUUUCUUUAAAAAUGUGUGCCAGGGAACAAGCCCUUGAUAAAAUGUUUUAAUGCUGUGAAAAAAUAUGAAAUGUGUAAAAGGAUGAAUCCAUGUGCUUCUAUAUUAUGUUGGUAGGUAUAUAUAAGAAUAUAUGUUUUGUAUUGAUGAAUAAUGUUGUGUGAUGAUAUUGAAGUGUACGAGUAGGGAGUGCACACAUGAUGAUGAUAGAGUGUGAGAGUAGGGAGUGCACACAUGAUGAUGAUAUUGCAUUGAGUUGAGUGUGGUGGGAUGAUAUGCAUGAUGAUGUAUGUAUAUACAAAUAUAUAUAUGUUAUAGAAAGUUUAUGAAAAUAAUUAUGAUUGUGUUGUGUGUUGGAAUUGUUAAUUGCUCCCAAAUUGCCUUUCAUUUCAACAAGAAAAUGGCUUUUGAUGUAGCAAGACCCAUUUCACUUAAAAUGCUCUGUUUCUCACUGCAGCGAGAUUCCUUUUCCCUGCAAUGAGAAACUCUUGGUUUUAGGGAUCACAUUGGCCUGAUUCUCGCUGUAGCGGGAAACUCUUGGGUUCUAGUGCAGUACUUUCACUUUGAUGAAGAUUUGGACCACAUUACCGUCCUAACUUGGAAAAGUGGUAAACGUAGAAUUGUAACCCUGCCUUUUAGCUUUCUAAUGGUCAAAAAAUCAGGUCAAAUGGACUUCUGUAGUGGGAGAUAUGCUAGAAAAACUGAAACACAUGCAAACUAACACUGUUUCUCGCUACAGCGAGAAACUUGCUGCCAUGCUUGCUACCUUGCUUGAUUGUGACAUAUUUUUCACCAAUUUAACUUCAUGGAUUGAUCAUGGGUUUUUGCAACACUAUGAGGUUAUUAAUCAAAGUUUGAAAAGAGGGGUUUUUAGUAAGAAAUUAAAUCAGUUGCAUUGUUUUUGAUACAAGUGCAUCAUGAUUUCCAAAUUCUUCCUAUCGAUUGCUUGUUCCCUUUUUAUGUUCAGUCACUGAGUUUAUACUCACCUUUUUCAAAUUCAUGUUUUCAGAUCAAGAGGCAGUCGGUAACUAGGUCGAGGUGUUCUCGUAGAUUCAUAUCGUUGGUAGGUAUCUUGGCAUUUCGUAGCCGCACCUUCUCCUUGGUGACUCCGCUGGAAGCCCA
This 7189-nucleotide long non-coding RNA is filed under the name Theobroma cacao (cacao). Its description in RNAcentral is "long non-coding RNA (TCAC_LNC003946)". Lineage: Eukaryota; Viridiplantae; Streptophyta; Magnoliopsida; Malvales; Malvaceae. The record is from RNAcentral.